UUCGAUUCUGGUGACGUGGCA
Molecule: non-coding RNA, 21 nt
Filed under: Arabidopsis thaliana (thale cress)
Lineage: Eukaryota; Viridiplantae; Streptophyta; Magnoliopsida; Brassicales; Brassicaceae
Source: RNAcentral